Molecule: ribosomal RNA, 425 nt
Filed under: uncultured prokaryote
Description: partial 16S ribosomal RNA
Source: RNAcentral
CCCUAUGGGGUGCUCUUUCGCAAACUCCACCAUGUCUGGAAAAACCCUCUGCUAAAAGCCGCGCAGAUACCGGGGUCUUUGGAUGAUCUCAAGAAUGUACAGGAGCAGGGCUAUCGCCAGAUUUUACUCAAUAAGAACCCGGAAUACCAGCGCGAGAGGGGAAUUGCCAUUAUCAACGCCAGGGACGUAGCCCGCCCCGAGGACCUGCGCAACCCCAAGACCUCCUGCCUCAUCAAAAUGACCAGGCCCUGUUUCGCAUCAUUCAAGCAGGCAUUUCUGGACCCGGAAUCGCGAGUGCGCCUGAAUUCGGAUGUUCCGGAGAAGUACUACUCCCGGAUCGAAUCCUUGAGAUUCACCGGUGGUUACUUGGAUGGCCUCGAAAUCGAAUUCUCCGAGCAUCUCAACGCGGUCAUUGGCGGGAGAGC